Long non-coding RNA from Eleginops maclovinus (Patagonian blennie), 3514 nucleotides. RefSeq lists it as uncharacterized. Lineage: Eukaryota; Metazoa; Chordata; Actinopteri; Perciformes; Eleginopidae. The record is from RefSeq and is a predicted model, not a curated record. The transcript has 2 exons.
CAUCCAUCUUCUCCCGCUUUUCCGUCAGGGUCGCGGAGGUAACAGCUCCAGCAGAGAGCCCCAAACUUUCCUUUCCCUGGCCACAUCAACCAGCUCUGACUGGGGGAUUCCAAGGCGCUCCCAGGCCAGUGAAGAGAUAUAAUCCCUCCACCUGGUCCUAGGUCUACCCCUCGGUCUCUUCCCAGCUGGACGUGCCUGGAACACCUCCCUAGGGAGGCGCCCAGGUGGCAUCCUCACUAGGUGCCCGAACCACCUCAACUGGCUCCUUUCAACGCGAAGGAGCAGCGGUUCUACUCCGAGUCCCUCCCGGAUGACUGAACUUCUCACCUUAUCCCUAAGGGAGAUGCCAGCCACCCUGCGGAGAAAUCCCAUUUCGGCCGCUUGUAUCCGCGAUCUCGUUCUUUCGGUCAUGACCCAUCCUUCAUGACCAUAGGUGAGGGUAGGAACGAAGAUGGCCCGGUAGACAGAGAGCUUUGCCUUCUGGCUCAGCUCUCUUUUCGUCACAACGGUGCGGUAAAGCGACUGCAGUACCGCUCCCGCUGCUCCGAUUCUCCGGCCCAUCUCACGCUCCAUUGUUCCCUCACUCGAGAACAAGACCCCGAGAUACUUGAACUCCUUCACUUGGGGUAAGGCUUCAUUCCCUACCUGGAGUGGACAAUCCAUCGGUUUCCUGCUGAGAACCAUGGCCUCAGAUUUGGAGGUGCUGAUCCUCAUCCCAGCCGCUUCACACUCGGCCGCGAUCCAGUGAGUGCUGCAGGUCACAGACCGAUGAAGCCAUUAGGACCACAUCAUCUGCAAAAAGCAGUGGUGCAAUCCUUAGCCCACCGAACUGCAAACCCCCUCCCCCACGACUACGCCUCGAAAUCCUGUCCAUGAAUAUCACAAACAAGAUUGGUGACAAAGCGCAGCCCUGGCGGAGGCCAACCCUCACCGGAAAACGGUCCGACGUGCUGCCGAGGACCCGGACACAGCUCUCGCUUUGGGAGUACAGAGAUUGGAUGGCCCUGAGCAAAGACCCCCUCACCCCAUACUCCCGCAGCACCUCCCACAGUAUCUCCCUGGGAACCCGGUCAUACGCCUUCUCCAAAUCUACAAAGCACAUGUAGACCGGAUGAGCGUACUCCCAAGCCCCCUCCAGGAUCCUUCCGAGAGUGAAAAGCUGGUCCGUCGUUCCACGACCAGGACGAAAACCGCAUUGUUCCUCUUCAAUCUGAGGUUCGACAAUCGGCCGGACCCUCCUUUCCAGCACCUUAGAGUAAACUUUCCCGGGGAGGCUGAGUAAUGUGAUGCCUCUGUAAUUGGCACACACCCUCUGAUCCCCCUUUUUAAAGAGAGGAACCACCACCCCGGUCUGCCACUCCUUCGGUACUGUUUCCGACUUCCACGCAAUGUUGACGAGACGUGUCAACCAUGACAGUCCCUCAACACCCAGAGCCUUCAGCAUUUCUGGGCGGAUCUCAUCCACCCCCGGGGCUUUGCCACUGUGGAGCUGUUUAACUACCUCAGUGACUUCCCCCCGUGAGAUUGGAAUUGAUCCCCCUUCAUACUCCAGCUCCGCCUCUAACAUAGAGUGCGGAGUUGUCGGAUUCAGGAGUUCCUCAAAGUGUUCCUUCCACCGCCCUAACACACUAUCAGUUGAGGUCAACAGCGCCCCAUCCUUACUGUACACAGCUUGGAUGGUACCCUGCUUCCCCCUCCUGAGGUGCCGGACGGUUUUCCAGAACAACUUUGGUGCCGACCGAAAGUCCUUCUCCAUGGCUUCUCCAAACUUCUCCCACACCCGCUGCUUUGCGUCGGCCACGGCUGAGGCUGCUGCCCUUCGGGCCUGUCGAUACCUUGCAACUGCGUCAGGAGUACCCAGGGAUAACAUAUGAGUAAUUCAACUAUCAAAAUAAAAUAAUCUUAAUAACCUUUUUACUGUUAUUAUUAACUACAAUGGAUAUAAAUGAAUUAUUACACAUUACAGAUAAAUGCUAUAAAUGCCUUAGAGGCAACACAUGCACUCUGCCAUUCCUGCCACAGUCACUAGUGCCCCAGAUAUCCUCCCAAACCCAGUGAUCUCACCUCCAUACACUCUGAUUAUCACAACCUCCAGGAGGUUUUUUAGCAAGAAUCUAUCUUUACAGUACUACCACACAGGCCCUGUGACUGUUCAAUAAUUUUUCUCCCUGGCAAUGCAAAGUUACAACUCUCUCAUUCUCAUUCGCCCUUCUUCAUCUCCGAUCCUUUUUUUUCGCGGACUUAAAAGAUAAAACUCUACGCCGCCUUGUAUUGAUUACAGAAGUCUUAAUGAAAUCAUGCUCAAGAACAAGUACCCCCUUCCACUCAUAUACUCUAGUUUGGCUCCCUCCACGAAGCCACCAUCUUUACAAAUUGGACCGUCGCAAUGCAUGCCACCUGGUGCAAAUAAAAUAAAGAGAUGAGUGGAAGACUGCUUUUAAUACUCCCCAUGGACAUUUUGAGUAUGUGGUAAAGUCUUUUGAGUUAACCAAAGCACCUGGAGUGCUCCAAGCUAUGAUUAAUGAUGUUUUGCGUGACAUGUUAAACAGGUUUGUUUGUUGUGUAGCCUACUUGGACGACAUCCUGAUCUUCUCUCGCAUUUCUCAAGAGCAUGUCCAGCAUGUAAGAUUAGUUCUACAGACACUUCUUGAGAACAGACUGUAUGUAAACACAGUUAUUAGGACACCUAAUGUCGACAUGUCAAUGGUAGAAUACAGACCCAAAAUUCCUCUGUAUGUAUAUCAGUGGAUCAUGCUUCAAUAUCAAAAUACAUGAUUAGAAGAGCUUAUGAAAUGGUAUCAAACUCUGCAGAUUGUAUGACUUUAGACUACUUACACUGUACGGCCUAUCUGUCACAAGACACAGACUUUGAAACAGGUUUCCUUCAUUACCUAAACAACUCUCUUAUGUGUUAUGCUCUGUUUGGUCCUAUGGCAGUUGUGCUAUUCCUGUGAAUCUGUGACACUGCAAUGUUUUUUAUGGUGAACAAUUCACACCCACAAAUCUCGGAGUCUCACAAUGACCAUUUGUGAGACGUGGGUGCGUUUGGAAGGAACUUCAAAUCCAUCUAUUAUUGGCAGCCCACCAACGACCCUCAGUUUAUGCAUUCUUCAAGAUGAGCCCUGAAGGAAGUCCCUAUUGUGGAAAUGUGUCAUACGUUUAAAUGAAUUAUGUGCCUUGGGCUAAUUUUCUCACAGUUUGAAUUGAAGUCUACUUGUAGCUUCUAAGUGUUCUCAAGCUUGCCAUUGUCAGAAAAUUGUCAUAUGGAUGUAAGGUAAUGUAAUCACCAUGUAUGCAUUGUUAUCUCCACCCAUUGUAGCCACCCAUCUUCAAUAACCUGUAAUGUAGGAUUUGAUUGGCUGAAAUCUUCCCUGUCCUGUUUUAUUCAUGUAUAAAAUAUAUGUCUGAUCUUGUACUACAUUGCUGGUGCAAAGACUCUGUCCUUCUGGCUGGAAAUAGAUUGAUUCUGUUAAAUGCUUUUACUCUUCAUUAAAUAACACAACUUUGGUUUUAA